AACAGCUCACAAUAAUUUACAAAACUCAUGAAUAAUAAGAUAUAAAAGACCCCAGGGUUACCAAAAAUGAAAUGAUACAAAAAUAAAAAACCAACAGCCUGAAAAAGACUAAAAUAUAGGCAUAUAGAAUGUGUUGGAUUAAAAAUGAUUCAGAGUCCUCAACCUUCCCCAAUUCUUGGACAGUGAUUUGAUAGUAGAACAUACAUGUUGGAACGUAAUUCUAAAAUCAGCUGGAAUAGCUUUAUGCAUCAGAUUUGCACAAAGCCACAACAAAAAACCCAAAAUACAG
RNAcentral lists this long non-coding RNA (289 nucleotides) under Mytilus galloprovincialis (Mediterranean mussel). The record is from RNAcentral. Lineage: Eukaryota; Metazoa; Mollusca; Bivalvia; Mytilida; Mytilidae.